CAAGUCGAACGAUGAAGCUUCUAGCUUGCUAGAAGUGGAUUAGUGGCGCACGGGUGAGUAAGGUAUAGUUAAUCUGCCCUACACAAGAGGACAACAGUUGGAAACGACUGCUAAUACUCUAUACUCCUGCUUAACACAAGUUGAGUAGGGAAAGUUUUUCGGUGUAGGAUGAGACUAUAUAGUAUCAGCUAGUUGGUAAGGUAAUGGCUUACCAAGGCUAUGACGCUUAACUGGUCUGAGAGGAUGAUCAGUCACACUGGAACUGAGACACGGUCCAGACUCCUACGGGAGGCAGCAGUAGGGAAUAUUGCGCAAUGGGGGAAACCCUGACGCAGCAACGCCGCGUGGAGGAUGACACUUUUCGGAGCGUAAACUCCUUUUCUUAGGGAAGAAUUCUGACGGUACCUAAGGAAUAAGCACCGGCUAACUCCGUGCCAGCAGCCGCGGUAAUACGGAGGGUGCAAGCGUUACUCGGAAUCACUGGGCGUAAAGGGCGCGUAGGCGGAUUAUCAAGUCUCUUGUGAAAUCUAAUGGCUUAACCAUUAAACUGCUUGGGAAACUGAUAGUCUAGAGUGAGGGAGAGGCAGAUGGAAUUGGUGGUGUAGGGGUAAAAUCCGUAGAUAUCACCAAGAAUACCCAUUGCGAAGGCGAUCUGCUGGAACUCAACUGACGCUAAGGCGCGAAAGCGUGGGGAGCAAACAGGAUUAGAUACCCUGGUAGUCCACGCCCUAAACGAUGUACACUAGUUGUUGGGAUGCUAGUCAUCUCAGUAAUGCAGCUAACGCAUUAAGUGUACCGCCUGGGGAGUACGGUCGCAAGAUUAAAACUCAAAGGAAUAGACGGGGACCCGCACAAGCGGUGGAGCAUGUGGUUUAAUUCGAAGAUACGCGAAGAACCUUACCUGGGCUUGAUAUCCUAAGAACCUUAUAGAGAUAUGAGGGUGCUAGCUUGCUAGAACUUAGAGACAGGUGCUGCACGGCUGUCGUCAGCUCGUGUCGUGAGAUGUUGGGUUAAGUCCCGCAACGAGCGCAACCCACGUAUUUAGUUGCUAACGGUUCGGCCGAGCACUCUAAAUAGACUGCCUUCGUAAGGAGGAGGAAGGUGUGGACGACGUCAAGUCAUCAUGGCCCUUAUGCCCAGGGCGACACACGUGCUACAAUGGCAUAUACAAUGAGACGCAAUACCGCGAGGUGGAGCAAAUCUAUAAAAUAUGUCCCAGUUCGGAUUGUUCUCUGCAACUCGAGAGCAUGAAGCCGGAAUCGCUAGUAAUCGUAGAUCAGCCAUGCUACGGUGAAUACGUUCCCGGGUCUNNNACUCACCGCCCGUCACACCAUGGGAGUUGAUUCACUCGAAGCCGGAAUACUAA
RNAcentral lists this ribosomal RNA (1366 nucleotides) under Campylobacter jejuni. RNAcentral describes it as "bacterial SSU rRNA". It matches the Rfam family "Bacterial small subunit ribosomal RNA". The record is from RNAcentral. Lineage: Bacteria; Pseudomonadati; Campylobacterota; Epsilonproteobacteria; Campylobacterales; Campylobacteraceae.